This 498-nucleotide ribosomal RNA is filed under the name uncultured bacterium. RNAcentral's name for it is "partial 16S ribosomal RNA". It matches the Rfam family "Bacterial small subunit ribosomal RNA", at positions 28 to 507 of the family's 1533-position model. The record is from RNAcentral.
GACGAACGCUGGCGGCGUGCCUAAUACAUGCAAGUCGAGCGGACGGAUGGGAGCUUGCUCCCAGACCGUCAGCGGCGGACGGGUGAGUAACACGUGGGCAACCUGCCUGUAAGACUGGGAUAACUCCGGGAAACCGGGGCUAAUACCGGAUAACUCUUUCCCUCACAUGAGGGAAAGCUGAAAGAUGGAAUCUCGCUAUCACUUACAGAUGGGCCCGCGGCGCAUUAGCAAGUUGGUGAGGUAACGGCUCACCAAGGCGACGAUGCGUAGCCGACCUGAGAGGGUGAUCGGCCACACUGGGACUGAGACACAGCCCAGACUCCUACGGGAGGCAGCAGUAGGGAAUCUUCCGCAAUGGACGAAAGUCUGACGGAGCAACGCCGCGUGAGUGAUGAAGGUUUUCGGAUCGUAAAACUCUGUUGUCAGGGAAGAACAAUUACCGGAGUAACUGCCGGUACCUUGACGGUACCUGACCAGAAAGCCACGGCUAACUACGUG